Non-coding RNA from Paenibacillus sp. IHB B 3415, 110 nucleotides. Lineage: Bacteria; Bacillati; Bacillota; Bacilli; Caryophanales; Paenibacillaceae. The record is from Rfam.
CCGAUAAUUACAUAUUGUUCUCGUAUAACCUCGCAGCCAUCAGGUACAUCAGGGCGAGGGUUUCUACAGGAAGCCUACUCUUCCUAACUACGAUGAUAAGGACUUUGUUA